Molecule: RNA transcript, 3895 nt
Organism: Triticum dicoccoides
Lineage: Eukaryota; Viridiplantae; Streptophyta; Magnoliopsida; Poales; Poaceae
Gene name: protein SUPPRESSOR OF K(+) TRANSPORT GROWTH DEFECT 1-like
Exons: 2
Source: RefSeq, a predicted model, not a curated record
CUCUGCCUCACCUUUCUUCCCCACCUACCCGCAUGUCACACACACUAUAGCCCGGGCAGCGGCGGACGGCAGCCCCGAGCGGAGGCGGACGGAGGCCCCGAGCGGUGGCGGGCGGAGGUGGAUCCGGCAGACGGCGAUCGAAGGCGUACCGGAGAAGGAAGGACGCGCAGGCUGCUGCUGCUGGGGUUCAAUCUCCACCCCCAGCCUUGUUCGUGCUCCGGCGGAAACCCGCAGUCCACGGAUUUCCGGCGCGAGAUUGAGUGUAUGCGUGAUGGGAGCUAGUAGUGGAGCGGCAGAUGGCGAGGCUCGGCGCUGAGCUCGACGGAAUGGGCUAUUGUCCGUGCUCGCGGACGCGCCGGUGACCGCGGCGGCCCCUAGCAUCUCGGAGCAGAGGAGCGCCGAAGGGAAUCAGCCGGCGAUGUAGCAGGUGCUGCCGGUGGUGCACGGGGCGGAUCUGGCCGGAACCAGGUCGAAGGUCGUCGUCCUGCUUCCCGGGUCCCCUCCGAGCUCGUCGUCGUCGCCCCAAGCCGAGCUCAGGAAGAGGAUGGGGAAGACAAUAGGGAGUUGGUGAGGCUGUGCACGCUUGGGCUUGAGCGAGUUGGAUGGAUUUGGUUUGGAGAGCCAGGUCGCGGCGGCGUUGCUGAUCGGAGUUGGUGGGACGGCAGGGUCGAGCUGCGGUGGCGCCAUGGCUGCGCGACGCCAUCGACACCAGGCUCACGGGGUUCGUCUCCCAUACAGAGGGGAUCCCCGUCAGGCGCCGCAAGAGACGAUGGUGCUUCCUGUCAAGUUCCCACGGUUCUUCAAUGUCAAGGAGAGGCGAUGGAGGGCGUUUAUGUUGUACAUGCCGACAUGGACUUGGACGUCCUACUUUGCCAAAGCCAUGACGACGGAGACACCUUUCACUCAUGCAGGUAAACGAGCACUUGUUUUUGUUGUGUGCUAAUUUUGGAGAUUCGAGACCAAGUCAAGAAGCUGGAUGAUGAUGUUAAUCAAGAGCUUAUGCAUGUUUGCGUCUUAUAUAUGUCUUUCUAUUCGGAUGACUCGAAAAAUAGGAGAUAGAAGCACAGUGGAUAUCUGGCCAGAGAUGGUGGCACAAUUAUCUAAAAUCUGACCACUUUCUUUGCCUGCAAGGUCGGUUUUUUACCUUGUUGAUUGAGUUAUUUUGUUAAUAAAGCAUGCAGUACAUGUUUAGGUAACUUCACAGCUUCUCACUGAAGGGGAUGCACUGUUCUCGAUUCUUAUAUAUACGAUGCAAAUCUGUGAGAUCCAAUUUUCAGUCAAUCAUGCUAUAUGUAGUUAAUUUACAGAUUUUUCUAAUUAGUCUGAUGUGAUGCUAAUUAACCAAAUUUCAUGACAAAUUUACAAAUUAUAGUUCAUAGCACUACCAAAUGUAUAGUUAAUGUCAACUAAAAUAUGUUUUUGCCAUGUAAAGUCAAACUACGCUACGAUGCAACUCAAAAAUUAUAACAAGUUGGCAUGGCAACUUGUUAUAAUUGAUACUCAUUUUUUUCUAUCAUUUCUCAUGAAUUUUAGACAUCAUUUAAUUUCUUAUACCAUGGCAAAUCACUAUGACUAGACAUCGUUUGUAGCAUGGAAAAUUUACUUCAUUUUCUAUGGAAAAUGUUUACUCUACUUUUGCCAUGGCAAAUUUCUACGUUCUUUUGCCAUAUCUAUCAGAAGAAUGUUGCCAUGGCAACUACAAAUUAGUUCAAGAACAUGGCAAACUACUAUCUUUGCACAUGGCAAAUUCUUAUAUUUGCACAUGGCAAACUCGUAACACUUUGCUUUCACAUCAUCCAUCUCAAAUUGUACAAAUUAUAACACGUAAACUAUUUUAGAGGUGGCCACACAAAUAUAGCACUAUGGCAAUUUUCCAAACAUGGCAAAUACUUUAAUUAUACCAUGGCAAAUCUAGUAAUUAUCACAUGGCAAAAUACAUGGGGAAUAUUUCACAUGACAAUAUUUAAAACUUGUCAAAUGGCAUUUUUUAAUUUUUUUUCCUGUAAUGUUCACAUGUCAAGUUUUGUCUACACAUGGCAAACUUAGAAACAUUUUUUCUAAAUUCACACGGAAAAUUCACAACAUUUUUUGUAUACUAAACAUGGCAAAUGAGGUGUUUUUUUGUAACACUCCCAUGACAAUCUUUAUGUUUUUUCUCACUUAACCAUGGAAAAUUUAAUUUAUUGAUCAUGGCAAAUUUAGUUUAUUGAUCAUGGCAAUUUUGGUUUAUUGAUCAUGACAAAUUUAGUUUACAAUUCAUGGCAAAUUUAGUUUAUUGAUCCUGGCAAAUCUAGUUUUCAAAUCAUGGCAAAUUUAUUUUACAAUCUCACAUGGCUAUUUUCAUGUUCAUACUUGAUUUUUCCACUUUUUGUGUUUUUUCACACACGGCAAAUUCAUAAUACAAACACACGACAAUUCUUGAUACGAAUUUGCCAUGGCAAGUUUUGAUACGAAUCUGCCAUGGCAAUUUUCUCAUUCAUAUUUUUGAUUUUCAACUUUUUGUGUGUUUUACACACACGGCAAAUUCAUCGUACCAAAAGAUGGCAAUACUUGAUACAAAUCUGCCAUGCCAAGUUUUGAUACAAAUUUGGUUUAUUGAUCAUGGAAAAUUUUAGUUUAUUGGUUCAUGGCAAAUUUAGUUUACUAUCAUGGAAAAUUUAGUUUAUUGAUCAUGACAAAUUUAGUUUUCAAAUCAUGGCACUUUAGCUUACAUGAAUUUUUAUGCCAUGGCAAGUUUCAAUAUGAAUCUGACAUGGCAAUUUUCUUGUUCAUAUUUGAUUUUCAUUUUUUUGUUUUUCUCACAUGGUAAAUUCAUCAUACAAAAUAAGGCAAUUCUUGAUACGAAGCUGCCAUAGAAAGUUUCUUGUUCAUACUUGAAUUCCCAACUCUUUGUGUUUUUUUUCUACACGAUAAAUUCAUCAUACGAAACACGGCAAUUCGUUGAUACCAAUCUGCCAUAGAAAAUCUCUUUUGUCCAUACUUGAUUUUCAACCUUUUGUGUUUUUUCUCACACAUGGCCAAAUUCUCCUUCAAAACACAACAAUUUAAUUUAAAAUUUCAUGGCAAUUGUAAUUAAAAAUGCCAUUGCCUUUUAAUAUUUUAUUGUCCUGUCAAAUUUUGUGUUCUUUUCACAUGAAUUUUUCGACUAUUUGUGUUUUAUUCACAUGGCAAUAUUGAAUUUAUUUUGUCAUGGCAGAUUUGCCAUAUUUCAUUGGGGGAUUAAAUAUGUGUUUAUAACCUUUGGCAUUGUUAAAAACAAUAUAAUGGCAAAUAGUUUGGUCAAACUCUAAUGGCAAAUUUUCUGCUAUUUUCAAAGCUGAUGGCAUUUUUUUGUAGCUGGGCAAAAUCUGGUCUUUUAUUUACCACGGGGAAAAACAAAAUCUGGGCAUUUUCAUUUAAUUCUUUAUGAAUGGGCUUUUUGUUCCUUUUUUCACAGGGAAAGGGCAUGUUGUGGAGGCCUGCAGGCUAUGGGUUCCCCUGACGAACUAAUUUGUACGGGGGAUCGAUCCCCUAGUACCGAACGAAUCGGAAUCGUGUGGUAGGGUGUUUCUCCUGCCACACGUGUGGACAGUUCUAAUAUUCUCCCACACAACAUCAUGUGGGCUGCCUGCUGGAUAUGCCACACAGGGCCGUGUGGGCGAGUGUCCAUUGUGCCACACGUGUGGCAGUUAUCGGCGUCCAUAAUUUUUGAUUGUUCCAUGCUGUUAUAUUAUCAUUGUUGGAUGUUUUACAAUCAUUUUAUAGCAAUUUUAUAUCAUUUUUUGGGACUAACCUAUUAACAUAGUGCCAAGUGCUAGUUGUUGUUUUCUGCUUGUUAUUUAUAUCGCGGGGAAUCAAUACCAAACUGAGUCCAAACGCAGCAAAACUUUUUGUGGAUUUUUUCUGUACCAGAAGA